GAAAAGAAACCAACAGGGAUUGCCUCAGUAACGGCGAGUGAAGCGGCAACAGCUCAAAUUUGAAAUCUGGCUCUUUCAGGGUCCGAGUUGUAAUUUGUAGAGGAUGUUUCGGGUGUGGCUCCGGUCUAAGUUCCUUGGAACAGGACGUCAUAGAGGGUGAGAAUCCCGUAUGUGACUGGUAGCCUAUGCUCAUGUGAAACUCCUUCGACGAGUCGAGUUGUUUGGGAAUGCAGCUCAAAAUGGGUGGUAAAUUUCAUCUAAAGCUAAAUAUUGGCCAGAGACCGAUAGCGCACAAGUAGAGUGAUCGAAAGAUGAAAAGCACUUUGGAAAGAGAGUUAAACAGUACGUGAAAUUGUUGAAAGGGAAGCGCUUGCAACCAGACUUGCAUGUAGCUGAUCAACCGGUGUUCUCACCGGUGCACUCAGUUGCGUUCAGGCCAGCAUCGGUUUCGACGGUUGGAUAAAGGCCUUGGGAAUGUAGCUUCUUUCGGGGAGUGUUAUAGCCCAGGGUGCAAUGCAGCCUGUCGGGACCGAGGACCGCGCUUCGGCUAGGAUGCUGGCGUAAUGGUUGUAAGCGACCCGUCUUGAAACACGGACCAAGGAGUCUAACAUCUAUGCGAGUGUUUGGGUGUCAAACCCAUACGCGUAAUGAAAGUGAACGGAGGUGAGAACCCUUAAGGGUGCAUCAUCGACCGAUCCUGAUGUCUUCGGAUGGAUUUGAGUAAGAGCAUAGCUGUUGGGACCCGAAAGAUGGUGAACUAUGCCUGAAUAGGGUGAAGCCAGAGGAAACUCUGGUGGAGGCUCGCAGCGGUUCUGACGUGCAAAUCGAUCGUCAAAUUUGGGUAUAGGGGCGAAAGACUAAUCGAACCAUCUAGUAGCUGGUUCCUGCCGAACUUCCCUCAGGAA
This 905-nucleotide ribosomal RNA is filed under the name Ceuthospora sp. CLX2710. RNAcentral's name for it is "eukaryotic LSU rRNA". It matches the Rfam family "Eukaryotic large subunit ribosomal RNA", at positions 56 to 979 of the family's 3401-position model. Lineage: Eukaryota; Fungi; Ascomycota; Leotiomycetes; Phacidiales; Phacidiaceae. The record is from RNAcentral.